CCUGCACAUAGGGGUGUUGCAGGUGUGGCUGCUACAUCACACGUGCAGUAGCAGGUGGGAUAGAGGAGAGAGGCUAUGUCUACACUCAGUGUUCUAAUCUAUGAACACUUGAGUGGUCACGGGCCUAAAAUU
Acomys russatus (golden spiny mouse) is the source of this 132-nucleotide small nucleolar RNA. RefSeq annotates it as small nucleolar RNA SNORA17. The transcript has a single exon. The record is from RefSeq and is a predicted model, not a curated record. NCBI's taxonomy places the organism in Eukaryota, Metazoa, Chordata, Mammalia, Rodentia, Muridae.